UGUCCCAGUUCGGACUGGAGUCUGCAACCCGACUCCACGAAGUUGGAUUCGCUAGUAAUCGCGCAUCAGCCAUGGCGCGGUGAAUACGUUCCCGGGCCUUGUACACACCGCCCGUCAAGCCAUGGGAGCCGGGGGGCGCCUGAAGUCCGGGACCGCGAGGACCGGCCUAGGGCGAAACUGGUAACUGGGGCUAAGUCGUAACAAGGUAUC
Molecule: ribosomal RNA, 210 nt
Filed under: uncultured bacterium
Lineage: Bacteria
Description: partial 16S ribosomal RNA
Rfam family: Bacterial small subunit ribosomal RNA
Source: RNAcentral